Long non-coding RNA from Manihot esculenta (cassava), 577 nucleotides. RefSeq lists it as uncharacterized. The record is from RefSeq and is a predicted model, not a curated record. The transcript has 3 exons. Lineage: Eukaryota; Viridiplantae; Streptophyta; Magnoliopsida; Malpighiales; Euphorbiaceae.
ACAGUGAAGACGUUGAGGAGGGCUCCGACGGUGAAGAGGAUAGCUCUGACAGUGAGAAUACUACGAAACGUAUCCUUGUCAGGAACAAAGAUGAACCUUACAGCUAUGAUGACCCUGACUAUGAGGGCAACCAGAGGGAUGUCUAUAUUAAUUACAGACGACAGUAUGAGGAAAGCGAUGGUUUUGAUUUUGAUGACUAUCCAAAGUCAGGUGACGGAGAAUUUUUUCUGGGUGUUGCUUUUCAUGUGGAUCUUGAAGAUGAUGAUGACGAAUUUACUAUAGGCUGCAAAGAGGCCCUUGCCUAUGCUAUCGAGGAACAGAAUAAAAAGGGUGCAAAUCUGAGACUCCUUGAUAUUAUCAAGGCAAAUGCCCAAUCAGUUGCUUUGUAUCACAUAACUUUCAGAGCUGAAGAUGUUUCUCUUGGAGAAGUGAAAGUUUAUCAAACUAAAGUCUUCCAUAGUUUAGUUCCUGGUCACAAGGAGACUGUAGUACGUAUUUUCAGGCUAAAAGAACCAACAAACAAAGGUAAUUGAUUUAUGUUAAUAGUUAGCUUAGUUUUUUUUAUUUUCUGUUGUCU